AGUGAACGCUGGCGGUAGGCCUAACACAUGCAAGUCGAACGGCAGCACAGUAAGAGCUUGCUCUUACGGGUGGCGAGUGGCGGACGGGUGAGGAAUACAUCGGAAUCUACUUUUUCGUGGGGGAUAACGUAGGGAAACUUACGCUAAUACCGCAUACGACCUACGGGUGAAAGCAGGGGAUCUUCGGACCUUGCGCGAUUGAAUGAGCCGAUGUCGGAUUAGCUAGUUGGCGGGGUAAAGGCCCACCAAGGCGACGAUCCGUAGCUGGUCUGAGAGGAUGAUCAGCAACACGGGAACUGAGACACGGUCCAGACUCCUAGGGGAGGCAGCAGUGGGGAAUAUGGGACAAGGGGCGCAAGCCUGAUCCAGCCAUCCCGCGUGGGUGAAGAAGGCUUUCGGGUUGUAAAGCCCUUUUGUUGGGAAAGAAAAGCAGCAGGUUAAUACCCCGCUGUUCUGACGGUACCCAAAGAAUAAGCACCGGCUAACUUCGU
This 491-nucleotide ribosomal RNA is filed under the name uncultured bacterium. Its description in RNAcentral is "partial 16S ribosomal RNA". It matches the Rfam family "Bacterial small subunit ribosomal RNA", at positions 29 to 506 of the family's 1533-position model. The record is from RNAcentral.